GAAGGCUAUGUUGGCCGGGCGACGGUUGUCCCGGUUUAAGCGUGUAGGCUGGUUUUCCAGGCAAAUCCGGAAAAUCAAGGCUGAGGCGUGAUGACGAGGCACUACGGUGCUGAAGCAACAAAUGCCCUGCUUCCAGGAAAAGCCUCUAAGCAUCAGGUAACAUCAAAUCGUACCCCAAACCGACACAGGUGGUCAGGUAGAGAAUACCAAGGCGCUUGAGAGAACUCGGGUGAAGGAACUAGGCAAAAUGGUGCCGUAACUUCGGGAGAAGGCACGCUGAUAUGUAGGUGAAGUCCCUUGCGGAUGGAGCUGAAAUCAGUCGAAGAUACCAGCUGGCUGCAACUGUUUAUUAAAAACACAGCAC
Molecule: ribosomal RNA, 364 nt
Filed under: Shigella sonnei
Lineage: Bacteria; Pseudomonadati; Pseudomonadota; Gammaproteobacteria; Enterobacterales; Enterobacteriaceae
Description: partial 23S ribosomal RNA
Rfam family: Bacterial large subunit ribosomal RNA
Source: RNAcentral